UACAGAGGUGGCAAGCGUUGUUCGGAAUUACUGGGCGUAAAGCGCGCGUAGGCGGCUUUGCAAGUCGGGUGUGAAAUCCCCAGGCCUAACCUGGGAACUGCAUUCGAGACUGCAUGGCUAGAGUAUCGGAGAGGGAAGUGGAAUUUCAGGUGUAGCGGUGAAAUGCGUAGAUAUCUGAAGGAACAUCAGUGGCGAAAGCGACUUCCUGGACGAAUACUGACGCUCAUGUGCGAAAGCGUGGGGAGCAAACAGG
This 253-nucleotide ribosomal RNA is filed under the name uncultured bacterium. RNAcentral describes it as "partial 16S ribosomal RNA". It matches the Rfam family "Bacterial small subunit ribosomal RNA", at positions 524 to 776 of the family's 1533-position model. The record is from RNAcentral.